GACGAACGCUGGCGGCGUGCUUAACACAUGCAAGUCGAACGGAAAGGCCCUGCUUUUGUGGGGUGCUCGAGUGGCGAACGGGUGAGUAACACGUGAGUAACCUGCCCUUGACUUUGGGAUAACUUCAGGAAACUGGGGCUAAUACCGGAUAGGAGCUCCUGCUGCAUGGUGGGGGUUGGAAAGUUUCGGCGGUUGGGGAUGGACUCGCGGCUUAUCAGCUUGUUGGUGGGGUAGUGGCUUACCAAGGCUUUGACGGGUAGCCGGCCUGAGAGGGUGACCGGCCACAUUGGGACUGAGAUACGGCCCAGACUCCUACGGGAGGCAGCAGUGGGGAAUAUUGCACAAUGGGCGGAAGCCUGAUGCAGCAACGCCGCGUGCGGGAUGACGGCCUUCGGGUUGUAAACCGCUUUCGCCUGUGACGAAGCGUGAGUGACGGUAAUGGGUAAAGAAGCACCGCCUAACUACGUG
This 468-nucleotide ribosomal RNA is filed under the name uncultured bacterium. RNAcentral describes it as "partial 16S ribosomal RNA". It matches the Rfam family "Bacterial small subunit ribosomal RNA", at positions 28 to 507 of the family's 1533-position model. The record is from RNAcentral.